RNAcentral lists this ribosomal RNA (86 nucleotides) under Drepanolejeunea vesiculosa. Its description in RNAcentral is "partial 5.8S ribosomal RNA". It matches the Rfam family "5.8S ribosomal RNA", at positions 69 to 154 of the family's 154-position model. From Rfam's summary of the family: 5.8S ribosomal RNA (5.8S rRNA) is a component of the large subunit of the eukaryotic ribosome. It is transcribed by RNA polymerase I as part of the 45S precursor that also contains 18S and 28S rRNA. Lineage: Eukaryota; Viridiplantae; Streptophyta; Jungermanniopsida; Porellales; Lejeuneaceae. The record is from RNAcentral.
GAAUUGCAGAAUUCCGUGAAUCAUCGAGUUUUUGAACGCAAGUUGUGCCCAAGGCUCGUCUGAGGGCAUGCCUGCCUGAGCGUCCG